CCUACGGGGGGCUGCAGUGGGGAAUAUUGGACAAUGGGGGCAACCCUGAUCCAGCCAUGCCGCGUGUGUGAAGAAGGCCCUCGGGUUGUAAAGCACUUUCAGUGAGGAAGAACGCCUGGUGGUUAAUACCCAUCAGGAAAGACAUCACUCACAGAAGAAGCACCGGCUAACUCCGUGCCAGCAGCCGCGGUAAUACGGAGGGUGCGAGCGUUAUUCGGAAUUACUGGGCGUAAAGCGCGCGUAGGUGGCUUGAUAAGCCGGUUGUGAAAGCCCCGGGCUCAACCUGGGAACGGCAUCCGGAACUGUCAAGCUAGAGUGCAGGAGAGGAAGGUAGAAUUCCCGGUGUAGCGGUGAAAUGCGUAGAGAUCGGGAGGAAUACCAGUGGCGAAGGCGGCCUUCUGGACUGACACUGACACUGAGGUGCGAAAGCGUGGGUAGCAAACAGGAUUAGAUACCCUGGUAGUC
Molecule: ribosomal RNA, 465 nt
Filed under: Vreelandella stevensii
Lineage: Bacteria; Pseudomonadati; Pseudomonadota; Gammaproteobacteria; Oceanospirillales; Halomonadaceae
Description: partial 16S ribosomal RNA
Rfam family: Bacterial small subunit ribosomal RNA
Source: RNAcentral